UAGGGAAUCUUCCGCAAUGGGCGAAAGCCUGACGGAGCAACGCCGCGUGAGUGAUGAAGGUCUUCGGAUCGUAAAACUCUGUUAUUAGGGAAGAACAAAUGUGUAAGUAACUAUGCACGUCUUGACGGUACCUAAUCAGAAAGCCACGGCUAACUACGUGCCAGCAGCCGCGGUAAUACGUAGGUGGCAAGCGUUAUCCGGAAUUAUUGGGCGUAAAGCGCGCGUAGGCGGUUUUUUAAGUCUGAUGUGAAAGCCCCCGGCUCAACCGUAGAGGUUCAUUGGAGACUGGAAAACUUGAGUGCAGAAGAGGAAAGUGGAAUUCCAUGUGUAGCGGUGAAAUGAGCAGAGAUAUGGAGGAACACCAGUGGCGGAGGCGACUUUCUGGUCUGUAACUGACGCUGAUGUGCGAAAGCGUGGGGAUCAAACAGG
This 429-nucleotide ribosomal RNA is filed under the name Actinomycetes bacterium. RNAcentral describes it as "Actinobacteria bacterium partial 16S ribosomal RNA". It matches the Rfam family "Bacterial small subunit ribosomal RNA", at positions 355 to 776 of the family's 1533-position model. Lineage: Bacteria; Bacillati; Actinomycetota; Actinomycetes. The record is from RNAcentral.